AUUGAACGCUGGCGGCAGGCUUAACACAUGCAAGUCGAGCGGUAGCACAAGAGAGCUUGCUCUCUGGGUGACGAGCGGCGGACGGGUGAGUAAUGUCUGGGAAACUGCCUGAUGGAGGGGGAUAACUACUGGAAACGGUAGCUAAUACCGCAUAACGUCGCAAGACCAAAGAGGGGGACCUUCGGGUCUCUUGCCAUCAGAUGUGCCCAGAUGGGAUUAGCUAGUAGGUGGGGUAAUGGCUCACCUAGGCGACGAUCCCUAGCUGGUCUGAGAGGAUGACCAGCCACCCUGGAACGGGGACACGGUCCAGAAUCCUACGGGAGGCAGCAGGGGGGAAUAUUGCACAAGGGGCGCAAGCCUGAUUCAGCCAUGCCGGGUGGGGGAAGAAGGCCUUCGGUUUGUAAAGCCCUUUCAGGGAGGGGGAAGGUGGGGAACUUAAAACGUUCAUCAAUUGACGUUACUCGCAGAAAAAGCACCGGCUAACUCCGG
This 489-nucleotide ribosomal RNA is filed under the name uncultured bacterium. RNAcentral describes it as "partial 16S ribosomal RNA". It matches the Rfam family "Bacterial small subunit ribosomal RNA", at positions 29 to 506 of the family's 1533-position model. The record is from RNAcentral.